This 785-nucleotide ribosomal RNA is filed under the name Levilactobacillus namurensis. RNAcentral describes it as "bacterial SSU rRNA". It matches the Rfam family "Bacterial small subunit ribosomal RNA", at positions 52 to 821 of the family's 1533-position model. The record is from RNAcentral. Lineage: Bacteria; Bacillati; Bacillota; Bacilli; Lactobacillales; Lactobacillaceae.
UUCCCGUUGAUUGACGUGCUUGCACUGAUUUCAACAUUGGAACGAGUGGCGAACUGGUGAGUAACACGUGGAAAACCUGCCCAGAAGCAGGGGAUAACACUUGGAAACAGGUGCUAAUACCGUAUAACAACAAAAACCGCAUGGUUUUUGUUUGAAAGGUGGCUUCGGCUAUCACUUCUGGAUGGUUCCGCGGCGCAUUAGCUUGUUGGUGGGGUAACGGCUCACCAAGGCGAUGAUGCGUAGCCGACCUGAGAGGGUAAUCGGCCACAUUGGGACUGAGACACGGCCCAGACUCCUACGGGAGGCAGCAGUAGGGAAUCUUCCACAAUGGACGCAAGUCUGAUGGAGCAAUGCCGCGUGAGUGAAGAAGGGUUUCGGCUCGUAAAACUCUGUUGUUGAAGAAGAACGGGUGUCAGAGUAACUGUUGACAUCGUGACGGUAUUCAACCAGAAAGCCACGGCUAACUACGUGCCAGCAGCCGCGGUAAUACGUAGGUGGCAAGCGUUGUCCGGAUUUAUUGGGCGUAAAGCGAGCGCAGGCGGUUUCUUAAGUCUGAUGUGAAAGCCUUCGGCUUAACCGAAGAAGUGCAUCGGAAACUGGGGAACUUGAGUGCAGAAGAGGACAGUGGAACUCCAUGUGUAGCGGUGGAAUGCGUAGAUAUAUGGAAGAACACCAGUGGCGAAGGCGGCUGUCUAGUCUGCAACUGACGCUGAGGCUCGAAAGCAUGGGUAGCGAACAGGAUUAGAUACCCUGGUAGUCCAUGCCGUAAACGAUGAGUGCUAGGU